AGCGAACGCUGGCGGCAGGCUUAACACAUGCAAGUCGAGCGGGCCCUUCGGGGUCAGCGGCAGACGGGUGAGUAACACGUGGGAACGUACCCUUUGGUUCGGAAUAACGCUGGGAAACUAGCGCUAAUACCGGAUACGCCCUUUUGGGGAAAGGCUUGCUGCCGAAGGAUCGGCCCGCGUCUGAUUAGCUAGUUGGUGGGGUAAUGGCCUACCAAGGCGACGGUCAGUAGCUGGUCUGAGAGGAUGAUCAGCCACACUGGGACUGAGACACGGCCCAGACUCCUACGGGAGGCAGCAGUGGGGAAUAUUGGACAAUGGGCGCAAGCCUGAUCCAGCCAUGCCGCGUGAGUGAUGAAGGCCUUAGGGUUGUAAAGCUCUUUUGUCCGGGACGAUAAUGACGGUACCGGAAGAAUAAGCCCCGGCUAACUUCGUG
RNAcentral lists this ribosomal RNA (433 nucleotides) under uncultured bacterium. Its description in RNAcentral is "partial 16S ribosomal RNA". It matches the Rfam family "Bacterial small subunit ribosomal RNA", at positions 29 to 507 of the family's 1533-position model. The record is from RNAcentral.